CCUACGGGAGGCAGCAGUGAGGGAUAUUGGUCAAUGGGGGAAACCCUGAACCAGCAACGCCGCGUGAGGGAAGACGGUUUUCGGAUUGUAAACCUCUGUCCUCUGUGAAGAUAAUGACGGUAGCAGAGGAGGAAGCUCCGGCUAACUACGUGCCAGCAGCCGCGGUAAUACGUAGGGAGCAAGCGUUGUCCGGAUUUACUGGGUGUAAAGGGUGCGUAGGCGGCCCUGCAAGUCAGAAGUGAAAUCCAUGGGCUUAACCCGUGAACUGCUUUUGAAACUGUAGGGCUUGAGUGAAGUAGAGGCAGGCGGAAUUCCCGGUGUAGCGGUGAAAUGCGUAGAGAUCACACAGAACACCGAUUGCGAAGGCAUCUCACGAAUCCGCGAUUGACGCUGAUGCAUGAAAGCGUGGGUAUCAAACAGGAUUAGAUACCCCAGUAGUC
This 440-nucleotide ribosomal RNA is filed under the name uncultured bacterium. Its description in RNAcentral is "partial 16S ribosomal RNA". It matches the Rfam family "Bacterial small subunit ribosomal RNA", at positions 338 to 795 of the family's 1533-position model. The record is from RNAcentral.